Molecule: transfer RNA, 72 nt
Filed under: Gemmobacter caeni
Lineage: Bacteria; Pseudomonadati; Pseudomonadota; Alphaproteobacteria; Rhodobacterales; Paracoccaceae
Description: tRNA-Thr
Rfam family: tRNA
About the family: Transfer RNA (tRNA) molecules are approximately 80 nucleotides in length.
Source: RNAcentral
GCCGUCGUAGCUCAGUGGUAGAGAACCCCCUUGGUAAGGGGGAGGCCGGGGGUUCGAGCCCCCCCGACGGCA